This is a long non-coding RNA of Scylla paramamosain (green mud crab), 397 nucleotides long. RefSeq lists it as uncharacterized. The transcript has 3 exons. Lineage: Eukaryota; Metazoa; Arthropoda; Malacostraca; Decapoda; Portunidae. The record is from RefSeq and is a predicted model, not a curated record.
GGCGUGUCCAGGGGGCGGCUAGUAGCGUGUGCCACCGUGGAAAUAUGUACAGACAUAAAGAAGACGCCCUCAAGAAAGGCCUGAGUCCAGACCGAGACCCAGAGAAAUGUAAACAAACGCACCAGUCAGACUUGAUAUAGGAGUGAAUUUGUUGCUUUUUAAAGCGGCAGUCGGUCUGUACAUCUGUGAGGUGGCGAGGGGUGUCGCCAGGGGGCGGCUAGUAGCGUCUGCCACCAGGGAAAUAUGUAAAAACAUAAAAAAGACGCUUCUCAAGAAAGAGAGGGGCAGUCGGUCUGUACAUGCGUGAGGUGGCGAGAGGCGUGUCCAGGGGGCGGGCUAGUAGCGUGUGCCACCGUGGAAAUAUGUACAGACAUAAAGAAGACGCCCUCAAGAAAGG